Suncus etruscus (white-toothed pygmy shrew) is the source of this 105-nucleotide small nuclear RNA. The record is from RefSeq and is a predicted model, not a curated record. NCBI's taxonomy places the organism in Eukaryota, Metazoa, Chordata, Mammalia, Eulipotyphla, Soricidae.
GUGCUUGCUUUGGCAGCACAUAUACUAAAAUUGAAAUAAUAGAGAAGAUUAGCAUGGCCCCUGUACAAGGAUGACAUGCAAAUUCAUGAAGUGUUCCAUAUUUAA